CCUACGGGAGGCUGCAGUGGGGAAUAUUGGACAAUGGGGGCAACCCUGAUCCAGCCAUGCCGCGUGUGUGAAGAAGGCCCUCGGGUUGUAAAGCACUUUCAGUGAGGAAGAACGCCUGGUGGUUAAUACCCAUCAGGAAAGACAUCACUCACAGAAGAAGCACCGGCUAACUCCGUGCCAGCAGCCGUGGUAAUACGGAGGGUGCGAGCGUUAAUCGGAAUUACUGGGCGUAAAGCGCGCGUAGGUGGCUUGAUAAGCCGGUUGUGAAAGCCCCGGGCUCAACCUGGGAACGGCAUCCGGAACUGUCAAGCUAGAGUGCAGGAGAGGAAGGUAGAAUUCCCGGUGUAGCGGUGAAAUGCGUAGAGAUCGGGAGGAAUACCAGUGGCGAAGGCGGCCUUCUGGACUGACACUGACACUGAGGUGCGAAAGCGUGGGUAGCAAACAGGAUUAGAUACCCCAGUAGUC
Molecule: ribosomal RNA, 465 nt
Filed under: Vreelandella stevensii
Lineage: Bacteria; Pseudomonadati; Pseudomonadota; Gammaproteobacteria; Oceanospirillales; Halomonadaceae
Description: partial 16S ribosomal RNA
Rfam family: Bacterial small subunit ribosomal RNA
Source: RNAcentral